AUUCCAGCUCCAAUAGCGUAUAUUAAAGUUGUUGCAGUUAAAAAGCUCGUAGUUGGAUUUCUGGUGGGAGCGUUGGGUCGGCCCUAAGGGCUCGUACUCAAAUGUUUUCCGCCAUCCUUGGAGGGAUGUUGUCUGGCAUUAAGUUGUCGGGCUUCCGAUCUCCAUCGUUUACUGUGAAAAAAUUAGAGUGUUCAAAGCAGGCUUACGCCGUUGAAUACAUUAGCAUGGAAUAAUAAGAUAGGACCCUGGUACUAUUUUGUUGGUUUGCGUACCUAGGUAAUGAUUAAUAGGGACAGUUGGGGGUAUUCGUAUUCCGUUGUCAGAGGUGAAAUUCUUGGAUUUACGGAAGACGAACUACUGCGAAAGCAUUUACCAAGGAUGUUUUCAUUG
RNAcentral lists this ribosomal RNA (390 nucleotides) under Bolidophyceae sp. RNAcentral describes it as "partial small subunit ribosomal RNA". It matches the Rfam family "Eukaryotic small subunit ribosomal RNA", at positions 582 to 975 of the family's 1831-position model. The record is from RNAcentral. Lineage: Eukaryota; Bolidophyceae.